UACGAAGGGGGCUAGCGUUGCUCGGAAUCACUGGGCGUAAAGGGUGCGUAGGCGGGUCUUUAAGUCAGGGGUGAAAUCCUGGAGCUCAACUCCAGAACUGCCUUUGAUACUGAAGAUCUUGAGUUCGGGAGAGGUGAGUGGAACUGCGAGUGUAGAGGUGAAAUUCGUAGAUAUUCGCAAGAACACCAGUGGCGAACGCGGCUCACUGGCCCGAUACUGACGCUGAGGCACGAAAGCGUGGGGAGCAAACAGG
RNAcentral lists this ribosomal RNA (253 nucleotides) under uncultured bacterium. Its description in RNAcentral is "partial 16S ribosomal RNA". It matches the Rfam family "Bacterial small subunit ribosomal RNA", at positions 524 to 776 of the family's 1533-position model. The record is from RNAcentral.